GUCCUUUGGUUUUAUUUAUUUAAGGUCGAUCCUGCCCUAUGAUAUUUUAAAUGGCUGCAGUAAUUUUAACUGUGCAAAGGUAGCAUAAUCAUUUGUCUUUUAAUUGAAGUCUAGAAUGAAUGGUUUAAUGAAAUGAAGACUUUCUUUGAUUUUAUAUUAGAAUUUAAUUUUAUAGUAAAAAAGCUUUAAUUUUAUUAAGGGACGAGAAGACCCUAUAGAAUUUUAUUAAUUUAUUAAUAAAUAAUUAUUAAUAAUUUUAUAUAUAUUUAAGUUAAUUUUGUUGGGGUGAUAUUAAAAUUUUUUUAACUUUUAUUUUAAUUGUUCAAUAAUUUUUGUUUUUUUUGAUCCUUUUAUGAUUAUAAGACUAAUUUACCUUAGGGAUAACAGCGUAAUUUAUUUGAAGAGUUCUUAUCGAUAAAUAAGUUUGCGACCUCGAUGUUGAAUUAGGGAUAAUUUCAGGGGUAUAUUUUUGUUUUUUAGGUCUGUUCGACCUUUAAAUUCCUACA
Molecule: ribosomal RNA, 506 nt
Filed under: Ceratocombus australiensis
Lineage: Eukaryota; Metazoa; Arthropoda; Insecta; Hemiptera; Ceratocombidae
Description: partial 16S ribosomal RNA
Rfam family: Bacterial large subunit ribosomal RNA (bases 380-506)
Source: RNAcentral